RNAcentral lists this long non-coding RNA (290 nucleotides) under Solanum tuberosum (potato). RNAcentral describes it as "long non-coding RNA (STUB_LNC007375)". Lineage: Eukaryota; Viridiplantae; Streptophyta; Magnoliopsida; Solanales; Solanaceae. The record is from RNAcentral.
UUCGCGAUGAUGCUUGAAGCUGGCCAUUGGAGAUGCAGAUUUUGAAAGCCUUAAGGAAGAUCACAUUUGCAUAUAGGCAUCUAUAUUUUGUAUAAACCUUGGGACUUGUACAUGAUCUUUGUGCUGUAUAUUUACAUGAGAUUUUGAGGGCUGAUUUGGUCAUGUCACCAUGGGUUGUAAUAUAAGUAUGGUUAUACAUUUUUAUCUUUUUGGGGUGUGUAAACCCAAGUUUUGUAAUAUACUGAUUUUGCUAUAUGUCUUGAAAGUUGUGUGAAGCAUGAGUUGGCUGA